UACGGAGGGUCCGAGCGUUAAUCGGAAUUACUGGGCGUAAAGCGUGCGCAGGCGGUUUGUUAAGCGAGAUGUGAAAGCCCUGGGCUCAACCUAGGAAUAGCAUUUCGAACUGGCGAACUAGAGUCUUGUAGAGGGGGGUAGAAUUCCAGGUGUAGCGGUGAAAUGCGUAGAGAUCUGGAGGAAUACCGGUGGCGAAGGCGGCCCCCUGGACAAAGACUGACGCUCAUGCACGAAAGCGUGGGGAGCAAAC
Molecule: ribosomal RNA, 250 nt
Filed under: uncultured bacterium
Lineage: Bacteria
Also listed under: 2 other names
Description: partial 16S ribosomal RNA
Rfam family: Bacterial small subunit ribosomal RNA
Source: RNAcentral